UGAACGCUAGCGGCAGGCUUAAUACAUGCAAGUCGAACGGCAAGGAUCUUUCGGGAUCCCUAGAGUGGCGCACGGGUGAGUAACACGUACACAACAUACCCUAUAUUGGAGGAUAGCCUCGGGAAACUGGGGGUAAUAUUCCAUAGUAUUUAUUGGAGGCAUCUCCUGAUAAAUUAAAGAGCAAUCGAUAUAGGAUUGGUGUGCGUCCCAUUAGCUAGUUGGUAGGGUAACGGCCUACCAAGGCGACGAUGGGUAGCUGGCGUGAGAGCGCGACCAGCCACACUGGAACUGAGACACGGUCCAGACUCCUACGGGAGGCAGCAGUAGGGAAUAUUGGACAAUGGAGGCAACUCUGAUCCAGCCAUGCCGCGUGGAGGAUGACUGCCCUCUGGGUUGUAAACUCCUUUUGUACAGGAAGAAACCUCCUCAUUUAUGAGUGAGCUGACGGUACUGUAAGAAUAAGCACCGGCUAACUCCGUG
This 480-nucleotide ribosomal RNA is filed under the name uncultured bacterium. RNAcentral describes it as "bacterial SSU rRNA". It matches the Rfam family "Bacterial small subunit ribosomal RNA", at positions 30 to 507 of the family's 1533-position model. The record is from RNAcentral.